RNAcentral lists this ribosomal RNA (492 nucleotides) under uncultured bacterium. Its description in RNAcentral is "partial 16S ribosomal RNA". It matches the Rfam family "Bacterial small subunit ribosomal RNA", at positions 29 to 507 of the family's 1533-position model. The record is from RNAcentral.
AGUGAACGCUGGCGGCAUGCCUAACACAUGCAAGUCGAACGGCAGCACACUAAGAGUUUUCGCUUACGGGUGGCGAGUGCCGGAGGAGUGACGCAUACAUUGGAAUCUACUUCUUCGUGGGGGAGCUCGUAGGGAAACAUAUGCUAAUAUCGCAUAUGUCUUACGGGUGAAUGCACGGGAGCUUCGGUACUUGCGUGAUUGAAUGAGCCGAUGUCGGAUUAGCUAGUUGGCGGGGUAAUGGCCCACCAAGGCGACGCUCCGUAGCUGGUCUGAGAGGAUGAUCAGCCACACUGGAACUGAGACACGGUCGAGACUCCUACGGGAGGCAGCAGUGGGGAAUAUUGGGCAAUGGGCGAAAGCCUGAUCCAGCCAUACCGCGUGAGUGCUGAAGGCCUUCGGGUUGUAAAGCCCUGUUGUUGGGAAAGAAAAACAGCAGGUUUAUCCCCCGCUGUUCUGACGGUACCCAAAGAAUAAGCCCCGGCUAACUUCGUG